This 192-nucleotide RNase MRP RNA is filed under the name Azadinium spinosum. RNAcentral describes it as "partial RNase MRP". It matches the Rfam family "RNase MRP", at positions 67 to 258 of the family's 266-position model. From Rfam's summary of the family: RNase MRP is an enzymatically active ribonucleoprotein with two distinct roles in eukaryotes. In mitochondria it plays a direct role in the initiation of mitochondrial DNA replication. The record is from RNAcentral. Lineage: Eukaryota; Dinophyceae; Gonyaulacales; Amphidomataceae.
GGGGAAAGUCCCCGUGCCUUGAUCCCCAUGCCCUCUGUCAGAGAGUGUCAGCGGGAGACCGCAGGGCGUUGGCUUGCUUGCAGGCAGUGAAACCUUUGGUGGAUUUGCAGCAGCAGGCUUGGGCCUUUUGCAGCAGCACAGGCAUGCCGUGAGCGCUCCCAUGAGGGCGCCAACUGAACGGGGCUCACUCUC